ACGUGGGGACGACCCUGCGGCUCGAUCAAGUUGUCAAUCCGGGGACGACCCCA
RNAcentral lists this non-coding RNA (53 nucleotides) under Pseudomonas agarici. RNAcentral's name for it is "Guanidine-II sequence". It matches the Rfam family "Guanidine-II riboswitch aptamer (mini-ykkC)". Rfam says of the family: Simpler in structure and has fewer highly conserved nucleotide positions than the ykkC-yxkD leader. Despite this each of its two stem-loop structures directly bind free guanidine. Therefore, mini-ykkC RNA motif represents a distinct class of guanidine-sensing RNAs. The record is from Rfam by way of RNAcentral. Lineage: Bacteria; Pseudomonadati; Pseudomonadota; Gammaproteobacteria; Pseudomonadales; Pseudomonadaceae.